UGGGGAAUCUUGCGCAAUGGAGGAAACUCUGACGCAGCGACGCCGCGUGUGCGAUGAAGGUCUUCGGAUCGUAAAGCACUGUCGCGAGGGAAAACAAACGAUGGUACCUCGAGAGGAAGCACCGGCUAACUCUGUGCCAGCAGCCGCGGUAAUACAGAGGGUGCGAGCGUUGUUCGGAAUUAUUGGGCGUAAAGCGCUGGUAGGCGGUCUGAAAAGUCGCGUGUGAAAGCUCAAGGCUCAACCUUGAAAGUGCGCGCGAAACUGGCGGACUUGAGUGUCGGAGAGGGUCGCGGAAUUCCCGGUGUAGAGGUGAAAUUCGUAGAUAUCGGGAGGAACACCAGAGGCGAAGGCGGCGACCUGGAAGAUGACUGACGCUGAGCAGCGAAAGCGUGGGGAGCAAACAG
Molecule: ribosomal RNA, 404 nt
Filed under: uncultured bacterium
Lineage: Bacteria
Description: bacterial SSU rRNA
Rfam family: Bacterial small subunit ribosomal RNA
Source: RNAcentral